Molecule: ribosomal RNA, 580 nt
Filed under: uncultured Flavobacteriaceae bacterium
Lineage: Bacteria; Pseudomonadati; Bacteroidota; Flavobacteriia; Flavobacteriales; Flavobacteriaceae
Description: bacterial SSU rRNA
Rfam family: Bacterial small subunit ribosomal RNA
Source: RNAcentral
UCCUACGGGAGGCAGCAGUGAGGAAUAUUGGACAAUGGUCGGAAGACUGAUCCAGCCAUGCCGCGUGCAGGAUGACUGCCCUAUGGGUUGUAAACUGCUUUUGUACGAGAAGAACGCCCUCUUCGUGAAGAGGACUGACGGUAUCGUACGAAUAAGGACCGGCUAACUCCGUGCCAGCAGCCGCGGUAAUACGGAGGGUCCGAGCGUUAUCCGGAAUCAUUGGGUUUAAAGGGUCCGUAGGCGGGCUAUUAAGUCAGAGGUGAAAUUGUGCAGCUCAACUGUAGAACUGCCUUUGAUACUGAUAGUCUUGAGUUAUGGUGAGGUAGCCGGAACAUGUGGUGUAGCGGUGAAAUGCAUAGAUAUCACAUAGAACGCCGAUUGCGAAGGCAGGUUACCAGCCAUAUACUGACGCUGAUGGACGAAAGCGUGGGGAGCGAACGGGAUUAGAUACCCCGCUAGUCCACGCCGUAAACGAUGGAUACUAGCUGUUGGGUUUUCGGGCUCAGCGGCCAAGCGAAAGUGAUAAGUAUCCCACCUGGGGAGUACGUUCGCAAGAAUGAAACUCAAAUGAAUUGACGGA